UACAGAGGUCCCAAGCGUUGUUCGGAUUCACUGGGCGUAAAGGGGGCGCAGGUGGUCGGGUAAGUCUGACGUGAAAUCCCGCAGCUUAACUGCGGAAUGGCAUUGGAUACUAUUCGGCUAGAGGGUUGGAGGGGGGACUGGAAUUCUCGGUGUAGCAGUGAAAUGCGUAGAUAUCGAGAGGAACACCAGUGGCGAAGGCGAGUCCCUGGACAACUCCUGACGCUGAGGCACGAAAGCUAGGGGAGCAAACAGG
Molecule: ribosomal RNA, 253 nt
Filed under: uncultured bacterium
Lineage: Bacteria
Description: partial 16S ribosomal RNA
Rfam family: Bacterial small subunit ribosomal RNA
Source: RNAcentral